RNAcentral lists this ribosomal RNA (647 nucleotides) under uncultured Actinomycetes bacterium. RNAcentral's name for it is "bacterial SSU rRNA". It matches the Rfam family "Bacterial small subunit ribosomal RNA", at positions 38 to 701 of the family's 1533-position model. The record is from RNAcentral. Lineage: Bacteria; Bacillati; Actinomycetota; Actinomycetes.
GGCGGCGUGCUUAACACAUGCAAGUCGAGCGGAAAGGCCACUUCGGUGGUACUCGAGCGGCGAACGGGUGAGUAACACGUGAGUAAUCUGCCCCUGGCUUCGGGAUAGCCACCGGAAACGGUGAUUAAUACCGGAUAUGACAGACCCUCGCAUGGGGGUGUGUGGAAAGUUUUUCGGCCAGGGAUGUGCUCGCGGCCUAUCAGCUUGAUGGUGAGGUAAUGGCUCACCAUGGCUUCGACGGGUAGCCGGCCUGAGAGGGUGACCGGCCACACUGGGACUGAGACACGGCCCAGACUCCUACGGGAGGCAGCAGUGGGGAAUAUUGGACAAUGGGCGGAAGCCUGAUCCAGCAACGCCGCGUGAGGGAUGACGGCCUUCGGGUUGUAAACCUCUUUCAGUACCGACGAAGCGCAAGUGACGGUAGGUACAGAAGAAGCACCGGCCAACUACGUGCCAGCAGCCGCGGUAAUACGUAGGGUGCGAGCGUUGUCCGGAAUUAUUGGGCGUAAAGGGCUCGUAGGCGGUUUGUCGCGUCGGGAGUGAAAACGCCGUGCUUAACACGGCGCUUGCUUCCGAUACGGGCAGACUAGAGGUAUUCAGGGGAGAACGGAAUUCCUGGUGUAGCGGUGAAAUGCGCAGAUAUCAGG